ACGGUCCUAAGGUAGCGAAAUUCCUUGUCGGGUAAGUUCCGACCUGCACGAAUGGCGUAACGACUUCCCCACUGUCUCGACCAGGAGCUCGGCGAAAUUGCAGUACGAGUAAAGAUGCUCGUUAAGCGCAGAAGGACGAAAAGACCCCGGGACCUUUACUAUACCUUGGUAUUGGCGUUAGGCGCGGAUUGUGUAGCAUAGGCGGGAGGCUUCGAAGCGGGUGCGCCAGCAUUCGUGGAGCCGCAAGGUGAAAUACCGCUCUGUUCUCGUUUGACGUCUCACCUCGAACAGUCAUCCUGUUCAGGGACAGUGCCUGGCGGGUAGUUUAACUGGGGCGGUUGCCUCCCAAAGAGUAACGGAGGCGCUCAAAGGUCCGCUCAGCCCGGUUGGCAAUCGGGUGUCGAGUGUAAUCGCACAAGCGGGCUUGACUGCGAGGACGACGGUCCGAGCAGGGACGAAAGUCGGAGAUAGUGAUCCGGUGCCGGCGCACGGGCGCGGCAUCGCUCAACGGAUAAAAGGUACCCCGGGGAUAACAGGCUGAUCAUUCCCAAGAGUCCAUAUCGACGGGAUGGUUUGGCACCUCGAUGUCGGCUCGUCGCAUCCUGGGGCUGGAGCAGGUCCCAAGGGUUCGGCUGUUCGCCGAUUAAAGCGGCACGCGAGCUGGGUUCAGAACGUCGUGAGACAGUUUGGUCUCUAUCCUCUGCGCUCGUUGGAAUCCUGAGGAGGCCUGCCCAUAGUACGAGAGGACCUGGGUGGACGAACCUCUGGUAUGCCGGUUGUCACGCCAGUGGCACGGCCGGUUGGCUACGUUCGGAAGGGAUAACCGCUGAAAGCAUCUAAGCGGGAAGCCUGCCUUAAGAUAAGUUCUCCCUGACGCAAGUCCUGAAGGGCCGAGGUAGACGACCUCGUUGAUAGGCUGGAGGUGGAAGUACCGUGAGGUAUGGAGCUGACCAGUACUAAUAGCCCGUGCGUCUUGUUUC
This 980-nucleotide ribosomal RNA is filed under the name human gut metagenome. Its description in RNAcentral is "bacterial LSU rRNA". It matches the Rfam family "Bacterial large subunit ribosomal RNA", at positions 1945 to 2925 of the family's 2925-position model. The record is from RNAcentral.